Molecule: long non-coding RNA, 269 nt
Organism: Leptinotarsa decemlineata (Colorado potato beetle)
Lineage: Eukaryota; Metazoa; Arthropoda; Insecta; Coleoptera; Chrysomelidae
Source: RefSeq, a predicted model, not a curated record
UGAGAGUUUAUAUUUCAAUUGGAUUUCAGGAAAUUCAGCCUGAUUUUAAUAUCAAACAGAAAAUAGAAAAAAUCCUCACCGAGGUAGAAGCAGAUCAAAAACGAGCGAGAACCAUGGAUACAGAUGAUUUCUUGGUGAUAUUACACGCAUUCAACAAUGAAGGGAUACAUUUCUCUUAACCCCGACUUAGUGAUAAUUGUAUAUACAAAUAAGUUUAUAUGUACAUUAAAACAUUUUUACCUUAAAAUAAAAUAUCUUUGGAAUCCUUA